Molecule: ribosomal RNA, 391 nt
Filed under: Echinaster sepositus
Lineage: Eukaryota; Metazoa; Echinodermata; Asteroidea; Spinulosida; Echinasteridae
Description: SSU rRNA
Rfam family: Eukaryotic small subunit ribosomal RNA
Source: RNAcentral
AAACCGCCCUAGUUCUAACCGUAAACGAUGCCGACCGGCGAUCCGCCGGCGUUACUCCAAUGACGCGGCGGGCAGCCCGCGGGAAACCAAAGUCUUUGGGUUCCGGGGGAAGUAUGGUUGCAAAGCUGAAACUUAAAGGAAUUGACGGAAGGGCACCACCAGGAGUGGAGCCUGCGGCUUAAUUUGACUCAACACGGGGAAACUCACCCGGCCCGGACACGGCGAGGAUUGACAGAUUGAGAGCUCUUUCUCGAUUCCGUGGGUGGUGGUGCAUGGCCGUUCUUAGUUGGUGGAGCGAUUUGUCUGGUUCAUUCCGAUAACGAACGAGACUCCGGCCUGCUAAAUAGUCGCGCCGGCCGCCGCGCCGGGCGCCGAUUGUCAGAGGGACCUU